Long non-coding RNA from Chlorocebus sabaeus (green monkey), 3168 nucleotides. RefSeq lists it as uncharacterized. Lineage: Eukaryota; Metazoa; Chordata; Mammalia; Primates; Cercopithecidae. The record is from RefSeq and is a predicted model, not a curated record.
AUGAGCUCAAGUGAUCCACCCACCUUGACAUUCCAAAGUGCUGGGAUUACAGACGCGAACCACCAUGCCCAGUCAGGACUGCGUUUUUAAUGAUGUGGGUGACUGUGUUUGAUGAUGUGGGUAACUAUGUCCUUUGAGGCCCAAGGGCAAGUCUCUGAUAGAGCCUGUCAGGUUUGGGGUAUCCUGCUUGGGUAUUGCUCAAAGGUUUGCCAACAGACCCAUGAAUGGCGUCCCUAGGAAUCUCUAGGAAUCUUUUCCUUGAUGGGCUGCAAACCUGGUGGCUGCAAACCUGAGCCCCGUCCCUGGCAGCCUCCUGGGUCUACCCCUUCCUUUUCCCAUGGGCACAUCUAGGCCUCAUGCCCAGAGAACUCCCUCACCCUGCAGCACAGUCUGAGCUCUGGGCUGGGAGGCAUCAGGAGAAGGGCAAAGGCUAUAGUCAGUGUUGGAGGACAGCCACAUGGGCAGCAGCUGGCCUCAGCACCUGUACAAUCUGGGAAGAGGGGUCUUGGGGUGCCACUUGGGCAGGGGGUAAUCCUGGCACCAGGGAUUCAGAGGCAGUGGUCAGUUCAGAGGUAUAAGGGUUUGGUGGCAGGUGGCCAAGCCCUGAUGAGGGGUUGGAAAAGAGGGUCCAAGCUGGCCCUAUGCUUAGGCUGUGGGGGCGUCAGGGGCCCAGGCAUCAAAGAGUUUAGGGUGUGAUGUGGGCUUGGGGGCCAACAUGAAAAGCCCACUGAUUCAGUCUUCAGGGAGUGGUGCGGUCUGCGCCUCAGUCCAGUCUCGUUUAAUGUGAAGGUGGUGGGCACAGAGCGGCUGGGAGGUGGGGUGAGGGGAGGCCACCCUGUGGACGACAGUGUCAGGACCCAGAAGGCACUCAACCAAGUGAAACUUUGGGCAGAGGCUGAAAGACACAUGCAGCAAGGCCAGAGGCGACAUGCCCCCAUAGGCCAGCAUUUAGGAAAUAUUCUCUAAUGCAUGAGUGUGGUGGUCAGGGUCAGACAGCUGCACUCAGCUUUCGACUCUCCAGCUGUGUGACCUUGGGAGGGUUAUGUAACCUCUCUGAACCUCAGUUUCCUCCUAGGCACAAUGCAGAUACUUUCAAAAAAAAAAAAAUCUCAUAGUGAGAUUGGAAGGAUCAAGUUGUCAUUACUACUGUUAUUCUUGUUAUUUAAAAAGCUGUACAGGUCCAGGAAGGAAGGACUGUCUUGACAGGAAUCCAGACAAAAAAGAUCCAGGGUUUUGGCCAAUCUCAAAUUUGUAUGAGGGUCUAAUAUGGAUGGUGAGAUCUGUGACAUAUAAAAGAAGGCAGUGAUCCCUGGAGCCAACAUGGGUUCACCAAGACCGGGCACAGCUCUUAGGUUCUUGACAGCUUAAUGACUCGUGGGUAAAGAAAACGAGCCAGCAUGAGUGGAGAGGAAUCUGUGAUUUAUUGAGCACCAAUUGUGUGCUGGACACUUCACACACAUGGUUUUAUUUAAUCCUCAUGAGCUGUGGAUUAAACAAGAUGUGACAAUCUCCAUUUUACUGAUGAGAAACUGAGUCUCCGGGAAGUGACUUGCCCAAGGUGGUUGGAGCUAGGAUUCAAAUCUGGAUCUGUCUAACCCUUUCUGCCAUAUCAUACUGUCUCCUAAGACACUGGGUAGAGUCCCUCGUGGCUCUUGAGGACAUGAAGGAUGUCUGAGAGGGCACAAAGGGGGCUCCCAUUGGGCCAAACAACAGCCAUGAAAUGUUCACGUAAGUGUAACCAGGUCAGUCUACAGGCAGUGAUAGACACUGCCAUGGGACUGUCCACCCUGCUUUGUUCAGUCUAUGCCAAGGACCUAUAAGAAGACAUGGAGGGUGUAGGCCUAUAAAAGUUGGAGGUGGUAGAAAGCUCCAAGGGACAGAGAAAAUCUCAGCAGAGUCAGGAUUUAGAAAGAUCUUGACAGGCUGGCGUGGCAAGGUGAAUUUAGCAUGAAGAAAUAUCACAGGGAAAAAUGCUGAGGCCCAUCUUGACUACAGGAAACAUUGUAGAAGGAUGGGCAGCUCAAGAGAAGGAUUUAGAAGCUCAAGUGCCAGUAAGUUCGGUAUGAGUCGGUAGGCUACGUUGAUAGAAAUAUGUUGUUUGGGACAAGGGAGGGGGGCCUCUCUCUAGCCUCAGUUCACACUCUGCCCUGGGGCAGUUUCUACUGUACAUAUUUGAAGGUCAUGUGCUAUUUUCUGUUUUUCCAGUUCUUUCCCUUUCUUUUCAAGUUCUUAGGGGAGGCAGAGUCCUUCCGGAGUUUGACCUUUGGAUUCCAUCCAGAGCAGCCUCCAAAAUGACACCUUUGAAGUUGUGUAUCGAGCUGGGGGAUGUAAAGGGAGGAGAAGAAAGAAGAUGAAGAGACACCAGCCAGCCUUGAGUGGACAUCCUGCCUGGUGAAACUGAACAAGACACCGACCGCAUGGGCUGGGAGCAGAUACAGGCCAAGGAUACGUGCUGACAAGACAGGUCAGGAAGCUGUGCGUCAGUUCAGCAGGAGAUGGUGGUGGUCCGUCAGGGUGGCAGAGUGGGGACGCUGAGGAUAGCACCUGUUCAUAAGGUAUUUGGGAAGUGGAAUAGAUAGGACUUGUUGAUUGAUUGGAUAUGGGGAGUGGGGAAGAGUGAAGAGACGAGGACUCUCGGGUUCUGGCUCGGUGAUAUUCACUGAGACGGGACACAGAGGAGGAGAGAGGGAUUUUUUGGAAACAAAGAUGAGCUGAGUUUUAGAUUCGGUGAGUCUGAGGUAUCAAUGGAGCAGUGUGUAAUGUCUCAUUCAUUCAUUAAUUAUUUACUGAGCACUUACUAUGUGCCAGCCAUGCCUGGAUACUGCUUUUCUGUAGCUGUCAGCCUAGAGGGGCAUUCAGAAAGUUCUUCUGUACAUUGAAUAUUGAGCUGCUGAGCUUUUACCCAUUGGCCUUCUUCUGCCCUUCAGGACUUCACUGGCAUCUACUCUCCUUCAGAGAUUAGAGAUCAGUGAUUGUGGUUCCCUGCAUCAUCUUUGUUUCUGGGAACAGGGAGCUGUGGAGGGAAUGUAGACUUUAGAAAAUUAUAAAGGCCUGGAUUUCAGCCCAAGUACCUUUUGUAUGAUCUCAUUUGUUAGGUGGGUUUACCGACACCUUUUGUUUUUGUUUUUGUUUUUUUGAGAUGGAGUUUCGCUCUGUCCCCAGGCUGGA